GACGAACGCUGGCGGCGUGCUUAACACAUGCAAGUCGAACGAUGAAGAAGAGAAACGCGAACUUCGGUUCAAAUUUCACUUCGGAUUAGUGGCAGACGGGCGAGUAACGCGUGAGCAACCUACCUCUUACAAAGGGAUAGCCUCGGGAAACCGUGAUUAAUACCAUAUGACACAUUCAUAAGGCAUCUUAAGAAUGUUAAAGCUACGGGGGUAAGAGAUGGGCUCGCGUCCCAUUAGCUAGUGGGUGAGGUAACGGCCCACCAAGGCGACGAGGGGUAACCGGCCUGAGAGAGUGAACGGUCACAUUGGAACUGAGACACGGUCCAAACUCCUACGAGAGGCGGCAGAGGGGAAUAUUGCACAGUGGAGGGAACUCUGAUGCAGCGACGCCGCGUGAGCGAUGAAGGAAUUCGUUUCGUAAAGCUCUGUUCUAUGGGAAGAAAGGGACUGUACCAUAGGAGAAAGCCCCGGCUAAAUACGUG
Molecule: ribosomal RNA, 482 nt
Filed under: uncultured bacterium
Lineage: Bacteria
Description: partial 16S ribosomal RNA
Rfam family: Bacterial small subunit ribosomal RNA
Source: RNAcentral